UCCCGGCUAGCUCAGUCGGUAGAGCGUCAGACUCUUAAUCUGAAUGUCGUGGGUUCGAUCCCCACGUUGGGAG
This 73-nucleotide transfer RNA is filed under the name Malassezia sympodialis ATCC 42132. Its description in RNAcentral is "tRNA-Lys (CTT) (tRNA-Lys-CTT-2-1)". It matches the Rfam family "tRNA". From Rfam's summary of the family: Transfer RNA (tRNA) molecules are approximately 80 nucleotides in length. Their secondary structure includes four short double-helical elements and three loops (D, anti-codon, and T loops). Further hydrogen bonds mediate the characteristic L-shaped molecular structure. tRNAs have two regions of fundamental functional importance: the anti-codon, which is responsible for specific mRNA codon recognition, and the 3' end, to which the tRNAs corresponding amino acid is attached (by aminoacyl-tRNA synthetases). tRNAs cope with the degeneracy of the genetic code in two manners: having more than one tRNA (with a specific anti-codon) for a particular amino acid; and 'wobble' base-pairing, i.e. permitting non-standard base-pairing at the 3rd anti-codon position. Lineage: Eukaryota; Fungi; Basidiomycota; Malasseziomycetes; Malasseziales; Malasseziaceae. The record is from RNAcentral.